Molecule: ribosomal RNA, 253 nt
Filed under: uncultured bacterium
Lineage: Bacteria
Description: partial 16S ribosomal RNA
Rfam family: Bacterial small subunit ribosomal RNA
Source: RNAcentral
UACGUAGGGUGCGAGCGUUGUCCGGAAUUAUUGGGCGUAAAGGGCUCGUAGGCGGUUUGUCGCGUCGGGAGUGAAAACUCAGGGCUUAACCCUGAGCCUGCUCCCGAUACGGGCAGACUAGAGGUAUGCAGGGGAGAACGGAAUUCCUGGUGUAGCGGUGAAAUGCGCAGAUAUCAGGAGGAACACCGGUGGCGAAGGCGGUUCUCUGGGCAGUACCUGACGCUGAGGAGCGAAAGCGUGGGGAGCGAACAGG